Molecule: long non-coding RNA, 1491 nt
Organism: Scophthalmus maximus (turbot)
Lineage: Eukaryota; Metazoa; Chordata; Actinopteri; Pleuronectiformes; Scophthalmidae
Source: Ensembl
AUGCUGUACAAACACAAGGAGAUAUUCAAAACAGAAGUAUGUUUUGUGGUAUGUGGGCCAUCAAUUGUAUGUGCACAGCGGGUCGACCGGUUUGCCGGGACACUUCUUGUCACCUCCAUGGAUGAAGUUGGAAGAGCAUUCUGCCAAAAAACAAAGAAGACGGAACAACCCCCCUUCACUAAAGUACAACUCAGUGUUUCCCACGUGCUCCGGUGCAGGAGGAGGAGCAGCAGGAGGAGGAGCAGGAGGAGCAUCGUGAGGAGGAGGAGGGGGAGCAGCAGCAGGAGCAGGGGGAGGAGCAGGAGGAGGAGGGGAGCAGCAGGAGGAGGAGGGGGAGGAGGGGCAGCAGGAGGAGGAGGAGCAGCAGCAGGAGCAGGGGGAGGAGGAGGAGGAGGGGGAGCAGCAGGGGGAGGGAGGAGCAGCAGGGGGAGGAGGAGGAGGAGGAGCAGCAGGAGGAGGAGGAGGAGCAGGGGAGGAGGAGCAGGAGGAGGAGCAGCAGGAGGAGGAGGGGGGGGAGCAGGGGGAGGAGGAGCAGCAGGAGGAGGAGGAGGAGCAGCAACAGCAGCAGGAGGAGGAGGGGGAGCAGCAGCAGGAGCAGGGGGAGGAGGAGCAGCAGCAGGAGGAGGAGGAGGGGGAGCAGGGGGGAGGAGGAGGAGCAGCAGGAGGAGGAGGAGGAGCAGCAACAGCAGCAGGAGGAGGAGGAGGGGGAGCAGCAGCAGGGGGAGGAGGAGCAGCAGCAGGAGGAGGAGGAGGGGGAGGAGGAGCAGCAGGAGGAGGAGCCUCAGCAGGAGCAGGGGGAGGAGAAGGAGGAGGAGGAGGAGCAGCAGCAGGAGGAGGAGGAGAAGGAGCAGCAGGAGCAGGAGGAGCAGGAACAGCAGGAGGAGGAGGAGCAGGAGGACGAGGAGGAGGAGGAGUAGGAGGAGCAGGAGGAAGAGGAAGAGGAGGAGCAGCAUGAGGAGGAGGAGGAGGAGGAGCAGCAGGAGGAGGAGGAGCAGGAGGACGAGGAGGAGGAGGAGGAGGAGUAGGAGGAGCAGGAGGAAGAGGAGGAGCAGCAUGAGGAGCAGGAGGAGGGGGAGGAGAAGGAGGAGAAGGAGCAGGAGGAGGAGGAGCAGCAGGAGGAGGAGGAAGAGGAGGAGCAGGGGGAAGAGGAGGAGCAGGAGGAGGAGGAGCAGAAGGAGGAGAAGGAGCAGCAGGAGGAGGAGGAAGAGGAGGAGCAGGAGGAGGAGGAGGAGCAGAAGGAGGAAGAGGAGGAGCAGGAGGAGGAGGAGGAGCAGAAGGAGGAGAAGGAGCAGCAGGAGGAGGAGCAGGAGGAGGAGGAGGAGCAGCAGGAGCAGGAGGAGGAGGAAGAGGAGGAGCAGGAGGAGGAGGAGGAGCAGGAGGAGAAGGAGCAGCAGGAGGAGGAGGAAGAGGAGGAGCAGGAGGAGGAGGAGGAGCAGAAGGAGGAGAAGGAGCAGCAGGAGGAGGAGGAAGCAGGUCCGCUCUCUGUCGUAA